UGCAGGCCGGCCUGACCGCCGUUCGCCUCCAGCUCUGCGGUGGCCUAGGCAGCGCGCAGGAACCGCCAUUAAGGCUCCGGCAGAGGGGCCAGAGGGAGGCUGUGACCGGGGCAGGGAUCAGGUGAGCCCUUUCAUAAUUAAUAAGACAGCUCAGCUGAGAAGGCGAGGAGCCCGGCCCUAUUGAUCCGGCAGCCGAGCUGCUUCCACCUCUCCUAUUUAUAGGACCCGCAUGGCCUCACGGAGAAAUAAACAUUGCAGAGUACAGGGACACCGAGGCGACCCGGACCGGCUAGUGCUGGCCCGCGCCAGGUCACGCGCUCCCUCCCGACCAGCCCCGCCUCCUUGGGUCCCGGGCUCCAGGCGCGGCAAAGGAGAGUGGGCUGCUGCUCCGGGGACCCCACACCCCGGAACCUUCGUUGGUUCAGAAAAUAGUAGGAUUUUGCUAGUUUCGUUUCAAUGAUUAUUUUCAGUCUGCG
RNAcentral lists this long non-coding RNA (476 nucleotides) under Fukomys damarensis (Damara mole-rat). RNAcentral's name for it is "lncRNA (ENSFDAG00000029703.1)". The record is from RNAcentral. Lineage: Eukaryota; Metazoa; Chordata; Mammalia; Rodentia; Bathyergidae.